CUUGAAGGCAAAAUGUAAAAUUUCAGGCACCUGGGAUACUGAAAAGUGCAGUGCCAGUGAAAAGAAACUUUAGUGGCGAUUUUGUUAGUGGGGCUUAUUACGUGUCUAUUUAUAUAGAUAAAUAUUGUUACCUGCAGAAUCACGCUGCUUCUGAGGGGUCUGAUGCUACAGCCACUGCACCUGCAGAACUCCCACUGAAAUGAAGUCAACAGAGAGAGAUGAAGUCAUCAAGAAAGAACACGCGGAGGGAAGAGGAGAACCUUAUUUUGAGAUACACUUCAAAAAAUUGCUGGACUGUAUUUGGGCAACAGAGAAGACACCCCAUCAUCCUGCACCUAGGAAAUGACCAGGCAUGUGUUUGCGUUCAUGAAAACGGGAUCUCAACCAGUCUUGUUUGAAACACUGCACAGGACAUUUGGGGUGAGAUAAAAUUCUUUAGACAGGUUAGCCUGUCACGUUGGGUAGUCUCUAAAAAGCAUGCUGUGAUUUUAUUUUAUAUGUAGGGCUACCAGACAUCUCAUUUUUAAAAGGGACAGUCCCGUAUUUAAGCCCUCCUGCAGGUGUAACGACAUUUUUUUUU
Long non-coding RNA from Mauremys mutica (yellowpond turtle), 580 nucleotides. RefSeq lists it as uncharacterized. Lineage: Eukaryota; Metazoa; Chordata; Testudines; Geoemydidae. The transcript has 3 exons. The record is from RefSeq and is a predicted model, not a curated record.